AUGACGAGGAACUUGUGCUUGAA
This 23-nucleotide unclassified non-coding RNA is filed under the name Dictyostelium discoideum. Lineage: Eukaryota; Evosea; Eumycetozoa; Dictyosteliales; Dictyosteliaceae. The record is from RNAcentral.